UGCCGGCGACCGGCGCACGGGUGAGUAACACGUAUGCGACCUGCCCCCCGCACGGGGGAUAACCGGGAGAAAUCCGACUAAUACCGCGUAACGCCGCGGACCUGCAUGGGUCUGCGGCCAAAGGAAGCGAUUCCGGCGGGGGAUGGGCAUGCGGCGCAUUAGCUAGUCGGCGGGGUAACGGCCCACCGAGGCGACGAUGCGUAGGGGUUCUGAGAGGAAGGCCCCCCACACUGGUACUGAGACACGGACCAGACUCCUACGGAAGGCAGCAG
This 272-nucleotide ribosomal RNA is filed under the name uncultured bacterium. RNAcentral describes it as "partial 16S ribosomal RNA". It matches the Rfam family "Bacterial small subunit ribosomal RNA", at positions 86 to 354 of the family's 1533-position model. The record is from RNAcentral.